GUGAGGAAUAUUGGUCAAUGGGCGGGAGCCUGAACCAGCCAAGUCGCGUGAAGGAAGAAGGAUCUAUGGUUCGUAAACUUCUUUUGCAGGGGAAUAAAGUGCGGGACGUGUCCUGUUUUGUAUGUACCCUGAGAAUAAGGAUCGGCUAACUCCGUGCCAGCAGCCGCGGUAAUACGGAGGAUCCGAGCGUUAUCCGGAUUUAUUGGGUUUAAAGGGUGCGUAGGUGGUUUGAUAAGUCAGCGGUGAAAGUUUGCAGCUUAACUGUAAAAAUGCCGUUGAAACUGUCGGACUUGAGUGUAACUGAGGUAGGCGGAAUGCGUAGUGUAGCGGUGAAAUGCAUAGAUAUCACGCAGAACUCCGAUUGCGAAGGCAGCUUACUAAGCUACAACUGACACUGAAGCACGAAAGCGUGGGGAUCAAACAGGAUUAGAAACCCUUGUAGUCC
RNAcentral lists this ribosomal RNA (445 nucleotides) under uncultured bacterium. RNAcentral describes it as "partial 16S ribosomal RNA". It matches the Rfam family "Bacterial small subunit ribosomal RNA", at positions 354 to 796 of the family's 1533-position model. The record is from RNAcentral.